This 253-nucleotide ribosomal RNA is filed under the name uncultured bacterium. Its description in RNAcentral is "partial 16S ribosomal RNA". It matches the Rfam family "Bacterial small subunit ribosomal RNA", at positions 524 to 776 of the family's 1533-position model. The record is from RNAcentral.
UACGUAGGGAGCAAGCGUUGUUCGGAUUUACUGGGCGUAAAGGGCGCGUAGGCGGCAAUUCAAGUCAUCUGUGAAAUCUCCGGGCUUAACUCGGAACGGUCAGAUGAUACUGCUUUGCUAGAGUGCGGAAGGGGCAAUCGGAAUUCUCGGUGUAGCGGUGAAAUGCGUAGAUAUCAGGAAGAACACCCGUGGCGAAGGCGGCUCUCUGGGACGGUACUGACGCUGAGACGCGAAAGCGUGGGGAGCGAACAGG